Molecule: ribosomal RNA, 1473 nt
Filed under: uncultured Bordetella sp.
Lineage: Bacteria; Pseudomonadati; Pseudomonadota; Betaproteobacteria; Burkholderiales; Alcaligenaceae
Description: partial 16S-23S ribosomal RNA intergenic spacer
Rfam family: Bacterial small subunit ribosomal RNA
Source: RNAcentral
GAGUUCGAUUAUGGCUCAGGAUUGAACGCUGGCGGGAUGCUUUACACAUGCAAGUCGAACGGCAGCACGGACUUCGGUCUGGUGGCGAGUGGCGAACGGGUGAGUAAUGUAUCGGAACGUGCCUAGUAGCGGUGAUAACUCACGCGAAAGCGUAGCUAAUACGCAUGGCCCUUCGGGGGAAAGCGGGGACCUUCGGGCCUCGCACUAUUAGAGCGGCCGAUAUCGGAUUAGCAGGUUGGUGGGGUAACGGCUCACCAAGGCGACGAUCCGUAGCUGGUUUGAGAGGACGACCAGCCACACUGGGACUGAGACACGGCCCAGACUCCUACGGGAGGCAGCAGUGGGGAAUUUUUUGGACAAUGGGGGAAACCCCUGAUCCAGCCAUCCUGGGCGUGUGCGAUGAAGGCCUUCGGGUUGUAAAGCACUUUGGCAGGAGAAAGAAACGGCACGGGAUAACACCCGUGCAACUGACGGUACCUGCAGAAUAAGCACUGGCUAACUACGUGUUGCAGCCGCGGUAAUACGUAGGUAAGCGUUAAUCGGAAUUACUGGGCGUAAAGCGUGCGCAGGCGGUUCGGAAAGAAAGAUGAAUCCGAGCUUAACUUUGGAACUGCUUGGUGAAUGAGCUAGAGGUGUCAGAGGGAGGUGGAAUUCCGCGUGUAGCAGUGAAAUGCGUAGAUAUGCGGAGGAACACCGAUGGCGAAGGGGCAGCCUCUGGGAUAACACUGACGCUCAUGCACGAAAGCGUGGGGAGCAAACAGGAUUAGAUACUCCUGGUAGUCCACGCCCUAAACGAUGUCAACUAGCUGCUAGCUUCCGGGCCUUGGUAGCGCAGCUAACGCGUGAAGUUGACCGCUCGGGGAGUACGGUCGCAAGAUUAAAACUCAAAGGAAUUGACGGGGACCCGCACAAGCGGUGGAUGAUGUGGAUUAAUUCGAUGCAACGCGAAAAACCUUACCUACCCUUGACAUGUCUGAAUCCCGAAGAGAUUUGGGAGUGCUCGCAAGAGAACCGGAACACAGGUGCUGCAUGGCUGUCGUCAGCUCGUGUCGAGAUGUUGGGUUAAGUCCCGCAACGAGCGCAACCCUUGUCAUUAGUUGCUACGAAAGGGCACUCUAAUGACUGCCGGUGACAAACCGGAGGAAGGUGGGGAUGACGUCAAGUCCUCAUGGCCCUUAUGGGUAGGGCUUCACACGUCAUACAAUGGUCGGGACAGAGGGUCGCCAACCCGCGAGGGGGAGCCAAUCCCAGAAACCCGAUCGUAGUCCGGAUCGCAGUCUGCAACUCGACUGCGUGAAGUCGGAAUCGCUAGUACCGGAUCAGCAUGUCGUCGCGGUGAAUACGUUCCCCGGGUCUUGUACACACCGCCCGUCACACCAUGGGAGUGGGUUUUACCAGAAGUAGUUAGCUCAACUGCAAGGAGGGCGAUUACCACGGUAGGAUUCAUGACUGGGUGAAGUCGUAACAAGGUAA